UUGGUUUUCGCUAGCGAAAGAGGAGCGAAAGCACACGGAGAACAUCAGCUUUGGCUCGUACUUGCUGUGUGAUCGGUUGUAACGUUAGAUCGCGCGACCGGAAAGGGAACAAGCCUGAAAAUGGUUUAUCUUUUCAUUCUUUCCCCACCUGGAAGCAACAUGAGGGAGCUCGUGUUGCGGAUGUAACCAAAAGACGGCGUCUAGCCUGGAUAGCAGCUGUGAGAAGACCUGGUAUCAAGUUCUCUUCCAUCUCCAAACAUCUGUUGGUGUGCUCGAGACAUUUUCAUUCUGGUAAACCAGCCUAUGUAAUGGAUGAGACAAAUCCUGACUGGGUUCCAACGCUGCAUAUGGGGCACUCCGGAAUCCUAACAUCUAAUUCUGACCGUCGCAGGCGGCGAACGCAACGACAGAAACAAAGAGCGCCAGUCCGAGAGGUAGUAGAGUGUGAAGGUGAGGCCUGUGCAGAAGUUACACAUGAAGAGCAGCCCGAGUUGGACACGACAGAAGACCAACACCAUGAUCACCUUGCCAAGGAGGCUGCGGGCCAGAGUUGUGUUGGACAAGUGGAGGCCGAGUUAGCAGCUGCAAAUGUAGAAAAUCUUGAUCUGACAGUAAGACACACAGAAGCUACAAGACAGACAAAGGAUUGUGUGUGCUGUGAACAGAGCAGAAGUAAACCGGCUGUUGGAGGAGAACAGGAAGCUUCAAUCACAACUGAAAAAGACAGAGCUGAAUGAAAAUUUUUUAAAGGAUGACACGGAAAAAGUAAGAUAUUACACUGGACUACCUUGUUUUGUAAUUUUACUGGCCGUGUUCAACAAUGUAAAAGCUUUCCUGCCAGCGUCACAGAAACUGUCGCAUUUCCAAAUGCUAUUACUCACACUCAUGCGUCUCAGACUUGAUCUUCCUGUCCAGCAUCUUUGUCAUCUAUUCAACAUUUCCCACAAAACUCUGUCUUCUGUCUUUACCGAUACCAUUGAUGUUUUGUAUGCCCGCUUAAGAGCCCUGGUGCACUGGCCAGAGAGGCACUGUUUACAGGCUACAAUGCCCCCUCAAUUUAUUGAAAUUUUUGGAAAACGGGUAGCCAUCAUUGUAGAUUGUUUUGAAAUUUGUAUAGAAAGACCAUCAAAUUUAAAGGCACGUGCACAAACAUACUCUCACUGUAAGGGUACACACACCAUGAAAUACCUCAUUGGGAUUACACCUCUAGGUGCAAUUUCAUUCAUUUCCAAGGGGUGGGGGGGAUGUGCAUCAUACAGACAUAUCACAGAGAGAUGUGGUAUUCUUCAAAGGCUGUUACCAGGGGAUGUAGUUUUGGCUGACAGAGGCUUUAACAUCACAGAUGCUGUGGGAACGAUGUGUGCAGAGGUUAAGACUCCUGCAUUUACAAAGGGCUUCUGUCAACUCGAUGCCAGGGACAUAGAAGAUACGAGAGCUACUGCCCACCUAAGAAUUCAUGUUGAGCGAGUAAUAGGUAUUUUGCGCAAUAAGUUCAAAAUGCUACAUACCACCAUGCCAAUCGAUCUACUUCUUCCAUGUGAGGGUGAAGAUUUGACCCUUCUUGAUAAAAUAGUGAAGGUUUGCUGUGUUUUGGUGAACAUGUGGCCCAGUGUGGUUGUAAAACCAGAGACAACUGAAACUUGCUCUUGUUAAAUAUUCGUAAACAACGUGUGCUUUGUGUUGUGAUUAUUUCUCUUAAGACAUAGUAAUUUCAAGACAGUUGGUAGUGGGUUAUGUUAUAAAAACGUUGUCAUUACAUUAUGUAAUCAUUAUUGUAUUUGUAAACUGUAACUGACACUUACUCUUCACUCUAACUACUUUGAUCGCCUUUGAAGUUGUUGUAAUAAAGUAAUGAAAGUCGGAAAAAAA
Oreochromis aureus is the source of this 1869-nucleotide long non-coding RNA. RefSeq lists it as uncharacterized. The transcript has 3 exons. Lineage: Eukaryota; Metazoa; Chordata; Actinopteri; Cichliformes; Cichlidae. The record is from RefSeq and is a predicted model, not a curated record.